GGGUUGUGAGGUUAAGCGACUAAGCGUACACGGUGGAUGCCCUGGCAGUCAGAGGCGAUGAAGGACGUGCUAAUCUGCGAUAAGCGCCGGUAAGGUGAUAUGAACCGUUAUAACCGGCGAUUUCCGAAUGGGGAAACCCAGUGUGAUUCGUCACACUAUCAUUAACUGAAUCCAUAGGUUAAUGAGGCGAACCGGGGGAACUGAAACAUCUAAGUACCCCGAGGAAAAGAAAUCAACCGAGAUUCCCCCAGUAGCGGCGAGCGAACGGGGAGGAGCCCAGAGCCUGAAUCAGCAUGUGUGUUAGUGGAAGCGUCUGGAAAGGCGCGCGAUACAGGGUGACAGCCCCGUACACAAAAGCGCAUGUGCUGUGAGCUCGAUGAGUAGGGCGGGACACGUGGUAUCCUGUCUGAAUAUGGGGGGACCAUCCUCCAAGGCUAAAUACUCCUGACUGACCGAUAGUGAACCAGUACCGUGAGGGAAAGGCGAAAAGAACCCCGGCGAGGGGAGUGAAAAAGAACCUGAAACCGUGUACGUACAAGCAGUGGGAGCACAGGUUUACCUGUGUGACUGCGUACCUUUUGUAUAAUGGGUCAGCGACUUAUAUUCUGUAGCAAGGUUAACCGAAUAGGGGAGCCGGAGGGAAACCGAGUCUUAACCGGGCGUUAAGUUGCAGGGUAUAGACCCGAAACCCGGUGAUCUAGCCAUGGGCAGGUUGAAGGUUGGGUAACACUAACUGGAGGACCGAACCGACUAAUGUUGAAAAAUUAGCGGAUGACCUGUGGCUGGGGGUGAAAGGCCAAUCAAACCGGGAGAUAGCUGGUUCUCCCCGAAAGCUAUUUAGGUAGCGCCUCGUGAA
This 856-nucleotide ribosomal RNA is filed under the name Salmonella enterica. Its description in RNAcentral is "partial 23S ribosomal RNA". It matches the Rfam family "Bacterial large subunit ribosomal RNA", at positions 1 to 888 of the family's 2925-position model. Lineage: Bacteria; Pseudomonadati; Pseudomonadota; Gammaproteobacteria; Enterobacterales; Enterobacteriaceae. The record is from RNAcentral. RNAcentral also lists the same sequence under 1 other name.